GAGAGUAACUGCUCGCACCUUGACGGUACCUAACCAGAAAGCCACGGCUAACUACGUGCCAGCAGCCGCGGUAAUACGUAGGUGGCAAGCGUUGUCCGGAAUUAUUGGGCGUAAAGGGCUCGCAGGCGGUUUCUUAAGUCUGAUGUGAAAGCCCCCGGCUCAACCGGGGAGGGUCAUUGGAAACUGGGAAACUUGAGUGCAGAAGAGGAGAGUGGAAUUCCACGUGUAGCGGUGAAAUGCGUAGAGAUGUGGAGGAACACCAGUGGCGAAGGCGACUCUCUGGUCUGUAACUGACGCUGAGGAGCGAAAGCGUGGGGAGCGAACAGGAUUAGAUACCCUGGUAGUCCACGCCGUAAACGAUGAGUGCUAAGUGUUAGGGGGUUUCCGCCCCUUAGUGCUGCAGCUAACGCAUUAAGCACUCCGCCUGGGGAGUACGGUCGCAAGACUGAAACUCAAAGGAAUUGACGGGGGCCCGCACAAGCGGUGGAGCAUGUGGUUUAAUUCGAAGCAACGCGAAGAACCUUACCAGGUCUUGACAUCCUCUGACAACCCUAGAGAUAGGGCUUUCCCUUCGGGGACAGAGUGACAGGUGGUGCAUGGUUGUCGUCAGCUCGUGUCGUGAGAUGUUGGGUUAAGUCCCGCAACGAGCGCAACCCUUGAUUUUAGUUGCCAGCAUUCAGUUGGGCACUCUAAGGUGACUGCCGGUGACAAACCGGAGGAAGGUGGGGAUGACGUCAAAUCAUCAUGCCCCUUAUGACCUGGGCUACACACGUGCUACAAUGGACAGAACAAAGGGCUGCAAGACCGCAAGGUUUAGCCAAUCCCAUAAAUCUGUUCUCAGUUCGGAUCGCAGUCUGCAACUCGACUGCGUGAAGCUGGAAUCGCU
RNAcentral lists this ribosomal RNA (886 nucleotides) under Bacillus safensis. RNAcentral describes it as "bacterial SSU rRNA". It matches the Rfam family "Bacterial small subunit ribosomal RNA", at positions 451 to 1336 of the family's 1533-position model. Lineage: Bacteria; Bacillati; Bacillota; Bacilli; Caryophanales; Bacillaceae. The record is from RNAcentral.